Molecule: unclassified non-coding RNA, 344 nt
Filed under: soil metagenome
Description: partial contains 5.8S ribosomal RNA, internal transcribed spacer 2, and large subunit ribosomal RNA
Rfam family: 5.8S ribosomal RNA (bases 1-121)
Source: RNAcentral
GAUGAAGAACGUAGCGAAAUGCGAUAAGUAAUGCGAAUUGCAGAAUUCCAGUGAGUCAUCGAAUCUUUGAACGCACAUUGCGCCCGCCAGCAUUCUGGCGGGCAUGCCUGUUCGAGCGUCAUUUCAACCCUCGACCUCCCCUUGGGGAGGUCGGCGUUGGGGACCGGCAGCACACCGCCGGCCCUGAAAUGGAGUGGCGGCCCGUCUGCGGCGACCUCUGCGUAGUAAUACAGCUCGCACCGGAACCCCGACGCGGCCACGCCGUAAAACACCCAACUUCUGAACGUUGACCUCGAAUCAGGUAGGACUACCCGCUGAACUUAAGCAUAUCAAUAAGCGGAGGA